RNAcentral lists this unclassified non-coding RNA (25 nucleotides) under Mus musculus (house mouse). RNAcentral's name for it is "oocyte_clustered_small_RNA3631". The record is from RNAcentral. Lineage: Eukaryota; Metazoa; Chordata; Mammalia; Rodentia; Muridae.
UCCUCUUUCUUCACAUUCAUGCCAG